This 531-nucleotide small RNA is filed under the name Pongo abelii (Sumatran orangutan). Its description in RNAcentral is "processed transcript". The record is from RNAcentral. Lineage: Eukaryota; Metazoa; Chordata; Mammalia; Primates; Hominidae.
UUGUGCACUUCCCGCCUGGCUCUCCGGUUCCGGCGCGGCCUCGGCUUCGGCCUCCGCCCGGCUGCGGCCGCCGCGGGUCCCCUCCGGGGUAGCCCCGAGAGCUGUGCUCGCCACGCUUGGCUGCCUGCUUUUCUCUGAUUUUCUUCCGCUUUGGACCCUGCUCUAUUUGCAUUGUCUUUUUUUCACCAAGUCGGAGAACGGUGCCUUGUCAAUUUUCACCUUUCUCACCGGACUUUCUCUUUUCCGGAGAGCCGAGUAUAGCUGCGGACCAACUGUAUAUGAUCAUGCGCACCUUGGCCAUGCUUGCUCAUAUGUUAGAUUUGAUAUCAUUCGAAGGAUCCUAACCAAGGUUUUUGGAUGCAACAUAGUCAUGGUGAUGGGUAUUACGGAUGUAGAUGACAAAAUCAUCAAAAGAGCCAAUGAGAUGAAUAUUUCCCCUGCUUCCCUCGCCAGUCUUUAUGAGGAAGACUUCAAGCAGGACAUGGCAGCCCUGAAGGUUCUCCCACCCACAGUGUACCUGAGGGUAACCGA